CAGUAGCCGCGGUAAAACGAAGGGUGCAAGCGUUACUCGGAAUUACUGGGCGUAAAGCGUGCGUAGGUGGUGGUUUAAGUCCGUUGUGAAAGCCCUGGGCUCAACCUGGGAAUUGCAGUGGAUACUGGGUCACUAGAGUGUGGUAGAGGAUAGUGGAAUUUCCGGUGUAGCAGUGAAAUGCGUAGAGAUUGGAAGGAACAUCUGUGGCGAAGGCGACUAUCUGGGCCAACACUGACACUGAGGCACGAAAGCGUGGGGAGCAAACAGGAUUAGAUACCCCUGUAGUCCCUGUCUCUUAUAC
RNAcentral lists this ribosomal RNA (301 nucleotides) under uncultured bacterium. RNAcentral describes it as "partial 16S ribosomal RNA". It matches the Rfam family "Bacterial small subunit ribosomal RNA", at positions 509 to 807 of the family's 1533-position model. The record is from RNAcentral.